CGCUAUAGUUUUCUCCCUAGCCUUCUCCUUCCCUUUCAUCCUCCGUUGUAUUCUCAAUCUCAUCCACGAAGUCCACCUCCUCUCGGUCUUGCCAUGCUCCCUCACGACUUGCUGCGCUGGGACUACCAGGGCUGCAGCACCCAACAGGAGGUUAUCCCCAUGCUUUCUCAGCUCAACACCCGAUUUAACAUCUGGAGGAGGUAGAGGGAGGCCAGGGGCAUAACUAAACUGAAGGACCAACGCACUGUGGAAAGAAGAGGGGGCCGCAGGCUGGCUGCUUUUAGCGUGGCUGCACUGGAUGAAGGAUUGGAGGACAGUCUGUGCGUUCCUGCUACUUCGGAGAGGAGGUAGAGGGAGGACAGCGGCAUGAUUAUCCUGAAGGACCAACGCAUUGUGGAGGGGACAGGGGGCCUCUGGCUGGUUGCUUUUAGCGUGGCUGGACUCCAUGAAAGAUUGGAGAAUAGUUCGUGCAUUCCUGCUUCUCCCCGUUUGAGGAGGGUCUACAGAGAAGAUCUGAGGCAGAGGAUGGAGGAGGACGAGAUUGCAGAGAGGAUUGGCUAGGAGACGUUGUUGCUCCCCUUGGCAGGAGGGUUGGAGGAUCGACGAAGGAGGUGUGUAAUCUCUUGACUCUGGGUCGAUGCUACAGCAUUGCCGACAGCUUAAGCCAGGUUUCUGCAGAUUUCGUCUUCCUGUGUGCUGCCCAUACUUAAUUUAUUCUUUAAAUAUCAUGACAUGGCUUUCUGUAUUGUUCAUCUUCCAUGUUAACUCAGGCUUUUGCUUGCAUUCUAUCGAGCCUAAUCUGCAGCAGCAUCUUAAGAUGGUACUAUCUAUACUCGGUUCAUGUAUCAUCUAAGUUACAUGCCAACAAUUGGGACCUUCCACUCCAAACAUCUCCCACAUUAACUGAAACGUGUGCAUUUUUUGUGGAUCCUAAUUUGAUGUAGAUGAAUUGUGUUAAUGUGGAAGUCUGAUCGAUUUAUUUUCUAAACAUCAAUUGUAGUUCUAUGGUUCAGUUGUAUUUUAUACAGUUUUAAUUAAGGUAUACGUAUUUUAAUAUAUCGCUCAAUCUAUUAUUGUACCAGCAAGGUAAUGAGCUAUAUUAGAUUCUUCAAUAUUUAUUCUGCCUAACUUCAGUGCGAUUUUAUUCAGGCACAUGUGCACAAGUAACAUAUGUCAAUUAUUGACAAAUCUGGCAUUUCAUAAGUUUCUACAUGGGAGCUCGCAUGUGCGUAAACUAUACCGGAGUGUGGGAUUCCUACCGAAGUUUCUGAUUAUGAAUGAUUUGCAACAUGACUGUCGCAGGGUGCAUCGGACGUUUCCAAUCUUUUGUACAGUAGCAUCAAAUUCAUGGUCAAAGGCCAGCCAAGGGCACUACCAAAAAGUGGCAUUGAUCCAUCGAUGCAAUUCCUUGAACGUGAUUCUCCACUAAUUUUUCCUGUACUGCAUCCUUUCUUCCUUUUAUUCAUUGAACAAAAGGAUCGAGCCAUGCAAACACGCAGAUUAGUUAUAAUUCAAUCAUCGCCAAGCUGUGUUAGGAAGAAACUCCAAAUGAUUGUUCUAAUUCCACGCUGAAGUCUCUUAUGGUCACUGCCUACGCAUGCUCACCUCUUGAACAAUUAGUGGAGUACCAUUGUGAAUCGGCUAAGUAGGGAGCUAAUGUGGUUGUCUCCUUGCAAGUACUGCAGCUAAGAAAGACGGGAGAGAGAAAUGCCAGUGGAAAACACUUAAAGUUGGAGGUGCACGAAUCUGUGAGUAUUUUUAUAUACUUAGUUGAUACACUUACAAAUAAAUUCUUUAAGGAGGAUUGAAUAUUAAAAUCAUUUGCUGAUGAGCUCUUCCGUAUGUGUUCCUGCAUUUCUAGCUUGAUCCAUCAUCAUAUAAUUGAAGGGCUCCAUGUAUGAUAUUACCUUUCUUUUUCUUAAUAACUCUGGUGGAGUGAUCAGGUGCAGUAUCUUCAUAGGUUUGUAGCACAAUAUAUCUAGCGUCUUUGAUUGUCAAAGCAUUACCCUGUCACUGUUGGACACACCUUCCUCCAGAGAUGCAUUGCUUCGUGGUCUCAAUGCGGACAAGAAGAAAGUAGUCCAAGCUAAAUACUCAAACACCCCAACGGCGGUAGUCUAGCCAUCUUUGCGCAAGUUCUUCAUCUGAUUUUU
Molecule: long non-coding RNA, 2153 nt
Organism: Triticum dicoccoides
Lineage: Eukaryota; Viridiplantae; Streptophyta; Magnoliopsida; Poales; Poaceae
Exons: 3
Source: RefSeq, a predicted model, not a curated record